Small nucleolar RNA from Callithrix jacchus (white-tufted-ear marmoset), 106 nucleotides. NCBI's taxonomy places the organism in Eukaryota, Metazoa, Chordata, Mammalia, Primates, Cebidae. The record is from Ensembl.
AUCCUAUUGUCAUACAUAUGCGUGAUGACUGGGUGUUCACAUGCAUGUGUGAAAUGUGCCAACCUUGAAUCUUGUUAUAUAACAUGCGCACAUUACCCAUCUGACA